GUGCACCAGGCGCGAAACCUCCGCAAUACACGAAAGUGUGACGGGGUUACCCAAAGUGUCCAAAUUUGGACUGUGGUAGGUGAGUAAUGUCCCCUACUAGAAAGGAGAGGGCAAGGCUGGUGCCAGCCGCCGCGGUAAAACCAAGCUCUUCAAGGUGGUCGGGGAUAAUUAAUUGGGCUUAAAGUGUCCGUAGCCGGUUUAGUAAGUUCCUGGUAAAAUACGGGUAGCUUAACUAUCUGUAUGCUAGGAAUACUGCUAUACUAGAGGGCGGGAGAGGUCUGAGGUACUACAGGGGUAGGGGUGAAAUCCUGUAAUCCUUGUAGGACCACCAGUGGCGAAGGCGUCAGACUGGAACGCGCCUGACGGUGAGGGACGAAAGCCAGGGGAGCGAACCGGGAUUAGAUACCCCCCGUAGU
This 416-nucleotide ribosomal RNA is filed under the name uncultured microorganism. RNAcentral describes it as "bacterial SSU rRNA". It matches the Rfam family "Archaeal small subunit ribosomal RNA", at positions 330 to 745 of the family's 1478-position model. The record is from RNAcentral.